This 253-nucleotide ribosomal RNA is filed under the name uncultured bacterium. RNAcentral's name for it is "partial 16S ribosomal RNA". It matches the Rfam family "Bacterial small subunit ribosomal RNA", at positions 524 to 776 of the family's 1533-position model. The record is from RNAcentral.
UACGUAGGGGGCAAGCGUUGUCCGGAAUCAUUGGGCGUAAAGCGCGUGUAGGCGGCCAGAAAAGUCCGCUGUGAAAACUCGAGGCUCAACUUCGAGCUGGCGGUGGAAACUUUCUGGCUAGAGUCCGGAAGAGGAGAAUGGAAUUCCUGGUGUAGCGGUGAAAUGCGCAGAUAUCAGGAAGAACACCCGUGGCGAAGGCGGUUCUCUGGGACGGUACUGACGCUGAGACGCGAAAGCGUGGGGAGCGAACAGG